This 163-nucleotide ribosomal RNA is filed under the name Lolium perenne. Its description in RNAcentral is "5.8S ribosomal RNA". It matches the Rfam family "5.8S ribosomal RNA". From Rfam's summary of the family: 5.8S ribosomal RNA (5.8S rRNA) is a component of the large subunit of the eukaryotic ribosome. The record is from RNAcentral. Lineage: Eukaryota; Viridiplantae; Streptophyta; Magnoliopsida; Poales; Poaceae.
CACACGACUCUCGGCAACGGAUAUCUCGGCUCUCGCAUCGAUGAAGAACGUAGCGAAAUGCGAUACCUGGUGUGAAUUGCAGAAUCCCGCGAACCAUCGAGUCUUUGAACGCAAGUUGCGCCCGAGGCCUCUUGGCCGAGGGCACGCCUGCCUGGGCGUCACG